GGGCACAUGGUGUAGUUGGUUAUCACAUCCGCUUAGCAUAAAGUAUGCUGAUGGUGCCUGCGGGGGGUGCUGGGUUCAAUUCCCAGUGUGUCCA
This is a non-coding RNA of Paramarasmius palmivorus, 94 nucleotides long. Lineage: Eukaryota; Fungi; Basidiomycota; Agaricomycetes; Agaricales; Marasmiaceae. The record is from the annotation of a GenBank genome assembly.